RNAcentral lists this ribosomal RNA (207 nucleotides) under uncultured bacterium. Its description in RNAcentral is "partial 16S ribosomal RNA". It matches the Rfam family "Bacterial small subunit ribosomal RNA", at positions 568 to 774 of the family's 1533-position model. The record is from RNAcentral.
AGCGCAGGCGGUUUCUUAAGUCUGAUGUGAAAGCCUUCGGCUUAACCGGAGAAGAGCAUCGGAAGCUGGGAGACUUGAGUGCAGAAAAGGACAGUGGAACUCCAUGUGUAGCGGUGAAAUGCGUAGAUAUAUGGAAGAACACCAGUGGCGAAGGCGGCUGUCUGGCCUGUAACUGACGCUGAGGCUCGAAAGCAUGGGUAGCGAACA